RNAcentral lists this ribosomal RNA (475 nucleotides) under uncultured Streptococcus sp. RNAcentral describes it as "bacterial SSU rRNA". It matches the Rfam family "Bacterial small subunit ribosomal RNA", at positions 902 to 1382 of the family's 1533-position model. The record is from RNAcentral. Lineage: Bacteria; Bacillati; Bacillota; Bacilli; Lactobacillales; Streptococcaceae.
CAAAUGAAUUGACGGGGCCGCACAGGCGUGGAGCAUGUGGUUUAAUUCGAAGCAACGCGAAGAACCUUACCAGGUCUUGACAUCCCGAUGCUAUUUCUAGAGAUAGAAAGUUACUUCGGUACAUCGGUGACAGGUGGUGCAUGGUUGUCGUCAGCUCGUGUCGUGAGAUGUUGGGUUAAGUCCCGCAACGAGCGCAACCCCUAUUGUUAGUUGCCAUCAUUCAGUUGGGCACUCUAGCGAGACUGCCGGUAAUAAACCGGAGGAAGGUGGGGAUGACGUCAAAUCAUCAUGCCCCUUAUGACCUGGGCUACACACGUGCUACAAUGGUUGGUACAACGAGUUGCGAGUCGGUGACGGCGAGCUAAUCUCUUAAAGCCAAUCUCGGUUCGGAUUGUAGGCUGCAACUCGCCUACAUGAAGUCGGAAUCGCUAGUAAUCGCGGAUCAGCACGCCGCGGUCGAAUACGUUCCGGCCUU